This 569-nucleotide ribosomal RNA is filed under the name Purpureocillium lilacinum. Its description in RNAcentral is "LSU rRNA". It matches the Rfam family "Eukaryotic large subunit ribosomal RNA", at positions 74 to 667 of the family's 3401-position model. Lineage: Eukaryota; Fungi; Ascomycota; Sordariomycetes; Hypocreales; Ophiocordycipitaceae. The record is from RNAcentral.
AUUGCCCCAGUAACGGCGAGUGAAGCGGCAACAGCUCAAAUUUGAAAUCUGGCCCCCAGGGCCCGAGUUGUAAUUUGCAGAGGAUGCUUUUGGCGCGGUGCCUUCCGAGUUCCCUGGAACGGGACGCCAUAGAGGGUGAGAGCCCCGUCUGGUCGGACGCCUAGCCUGUGUAAAGCUCCUUCGACGAGUCGAGUAGUUUGGGAAUGCUGCUCUAAAUGGGAGGUAUAUGUCUUCUAAAGCUAAAUACCGGCCAGAGACCGAUAGCGCACAAGUAGAGUGAUCGAAAGAUGAAAAGCACUUUGAAAAGAGGGUUAAAUAGUACGUGAAAUUGUUGAAAGGGAAGCGCUUGUGACCAGACUUGGGCCCGGUGGAUCAUCCAGCGUUCUCGCUGGUGCACUCCGCCGGGUUCAGGCCAGCAUCAGUUCGCCGCGGGGGAAAAAGGCUUCGGGAACGUGGCUCCUACGGGAGUGUUAUAGCCCGUUGCAUAAUACCCUGGGGCGGACUGAGGUUCGCGCUCCGCAAGGAUGCUGGCGUAAUGGUCAUCAGCGACCCGUCUUGAAACACGGACC